UGGGGAAUUUUCCGCAAUGGGCGAAAGCCUGACGGAGCAAUACCGCGUGAGGGAGGAAGGCUCUUGGGUUGUAAACCUCUUUUCUCAGGGAAGAAAAAAAUGACGGUACCUGAGGAAUCAGCAUCGGCUAACUCCGUGCCAGCAGCCGCGGUAAUACGGAGGAUGCAAGCGUUAUCCGGAAUGAUUGGGCGUAAAGCGUCCGCAGGUGGUUAAGUAAGUCUGCUGUCAAAGCGUCUAGCUCAACUAGAUACAGGCAGUGGAAACUACUAGACUAGAGUGCGUUCGGGGCAGAGGGAAUUCCUGGUGUAGCGGUGAAAUGCGUAGAUAUCAGGAAGAACACCGGUGGCGAAAGCGCUCUGCUAGGCCGCAACUGACACUGAGGGACGAAAGCUAGGGGAGCGAAAGGGAUUAGAUACCCCWGUAGUCA
Molecule: ribosomal RNA, 427 nt
Filed under: uncultured Nostocaceae cyanobacterium
Lineage: Bacteria; Bacillati; Cyanobacteriota; Cyanophyceae; Nostocales; Nostocaceae
Description: bacterial SSU rRNA
Rfam family: Bacterial small subunit ribosomal RNA
Source: RNAcentral